GUUUGAUCCUGGCUCAGAAUGAACGCUUGCGAUAGGCUUAACACAUGCAAGUUGAACGUGUAAAACACGUAGCGAACGGGUGCGUAACAUGUGGGAAUCUACCCAUACAUGAAGGUAAAUCCUUCUUAAAAGAUCCGUGAUCGUGUAUGGAUGAGCCCGCACAAGAUUAGAUAGUUGGUGUGGGAAGGGCGCACCAAGUCGAGGAUCUUUAGCUGAUCUUAGCGGAUGAUCAGCCACACUGGGACUG
This 247-nucleotide ribosomal RNA is filed under the name Micromonas pusilla. RNAcentral's name for it is "partial Bacterial small subunit ribosomal RNA". It matches the Rfam family "Bacterial small subunit ribosomal RNA", at positions 11 to 321 of the family's 1533-position model. The record is from RNAcentral. Lineage: Eukaryota; Viridiplantae; Chlorophyta; Mamiellophyceae; Mamiellales; Mamiellaceae.